CCUGAGAGGGUGACCGGCCACAUUGGGACUGAGACACGGCCCAAACUCCUACGGGAGGCAGCAGUGGGGAAUAUUGCACAAUGGGCGAAAGCCUGAUGCAGCAACGCCGCGUGAGUGAAGAAGUAUCUCGGUAUGUAAAGCUCUAUCAGCAGGGAAGAAAAUGACGGUACCUGACUAAGAAGCCCCGGCUAACUACGUGCCAGCAGCCGCGGUAAUACGUAGGGGGCAAGCGUUAUCCGGAUUUACUGGGUGUAAAGGGAGCGCAGACGGCACUGCAAGUCUGAAGUGAAAGCCCGGGGCUCAACCCCGGGACUGCUUUGGAAACUGUAGAGCUAGAGUGCUGGAGAGGCAAGCGGAAUUCCUAGUGUAGCGGUGAAAUGCGUAGAUAUUAGGAAGAACACCAGUGGCGAAGGCGGCUUGCUGGACA
This 427-nucleotide ribosomal RNA is filed under the name uncultured bacterium. RNAcentral describes it as "bacterial SSU rRNA". It matches the Rfam family "Bacterial small subunit ribosomal RNA", at positions 291 to 735 of the family's 1533-position model. The record is from RNAcentral.